This 1422-nucleotide ribosomal RNA is filed under the name uncultured organism. RNAcentral's name for it is "16S ribosomal RNA". It matches the Rfam family "Bacterial small subunit ribosomal RNA". The record is from RNAcentral.
GCUUAACACAUGCAAGUCGAGGGGCAGCAUGGUCUUUGCUUGCUAAGGCCGAUGGCGACCGGCGCACGGGUGAGUAACACGUAUCCAACCUGCCGUCUACUCUUGGACAGCCUUCUGAAAGGAAGAUUAAUACAAGAUGGCAUCAUGAGUCCGCAUGUUCACAUGAUUAAAGGUAUUCCGGUAGACGAUGGGGAUGCGUUCCAUUAGAUAGUAGGCGGGGUAACGGCCCACCUAGUCUUCGAUGGAUAGGGGUUCUGAGAGGAAGGUCCCCCACAUUGGAACUGAGACACGGUCCAAACUCCUACGGGAGGCAGCAGUGAGGAAUAUUGGUCAAUGGGCGAGAGCCUGAACCAGCCAAGUAGCGUGAAGGAUGACUGCCCUAUGGGUUGUAAACUUCUUUUAUAAAGGAAUAAAGUCGGGUAUGGAUACCCGUUUGCAUGUACUUUAUGAAUAAGGAUCGGCUAACUCCGUGCCAGCAGCCGCGGUAAUACGGAGGAUCCGAGCGUUAUCCGGAUUUAUUGGGUUUAAAGGGAGCGUAGAUGGAUGUUUAAGUCAGUUGUGAAAGUUUGCGGCUCAACCGUAAAAUUGCAGUUGAUACUGGAUAUCUUGAGUGCAGUUGAGGCAGGCGGAAUUCGUGGUGUAGCGGUGAAAUGCUUAGAUAUCACGAAGAACUCCGAUUGCGAAGGCAGCCUGCUAAGCUGCAACUGACAUUGAGGCUCGAAAGUGUGGGUAUCAAACAGGAUUAGAUACCCUGGUAGUCCACACGGUAAACGAUGAAUACUCGCUGUUUGCGAUAUACAGCAAGCGGCCAAGCGAAAGCGUUAAGUAUUCCACCUGGGGAGUACGCCGGCAACGGUGAAACUCAAAGGAAUUGACGGGGGCCCACACAAGCGGAGGAACAUGUGGUUUAAUUCGAUGAUACGCGAGGAACCUUACCCGGGCUUAAAUUGCAGAUGAAUUACGGUGAAAGCCGUAAGCCGCAAGGCAUCUGUGAAGGUGCUGCAUGGUUGUCGUCAGCUCGUGCCGUGAGGUGUCGGCUUAAGUGCCAUAACGAGCGCAACCCUUGUUGUCAGUUACUAACAGGUUCCGCUGAGGACUCUGACAAGACUGCCAUCGUAAGAUGUGAGGAAGGUGGGGAUGACGUCAAAUCAGCACGGCCCUUACGUCCGGGGCUACACACGUGUUACAAUGGGGGGUACAGAGGGCCGCUACCACGCGAGUGGAUGCCAAUCCCCAAAACCUCUCUCAGUUCGGACUGGAGUCUGCAACCCGACUCCACGAAGCUGGAUUCGCUAGUAAUCGCGCAUCAGCCACGGCGCGGUGAAUACGUUCCCGGGCCUUGUACACACCGCCCGUCAAGCCAUGGGAGCCGGGGGUACCUGAAGUGCGUAACCGCGAGGAGCGCCCUAGGGUAAAACUGGU